AGUGAACGCUGGCGGCAGGCCUAACACAUGCAAGUCGAACGGCAGCACAAGAGAGCUUGCUCUCUGGGUGGCGAGUGGCGGACGGGUGAGGCAUGCAUCGGAAUCUGCCCAUUUGUGGGGGAUAACCUCGGGAAACCGGGACUAAUACCGCAUACGACCUACGGGUGAAAGCAGGGGAUCUUCGGACCUUGCGCAGAUGGAUGAGCCGAUGCCGGAUUAGCUAGUUGGAGGGGUAAAGGCCCACCAAGGCGACGAUCCGUAGCUGGUCUGAGAGGAUGAUCAGCCACACUGGGACUGAGACACGGCCCAGACUCCUACGGGAGGCAGCAGUGGGGAAUAUUGGACAAUGGGCGCAAGCCUGAUCCAGCCAUGCCGCGUGUGUGAAGAAGGCCUUCGGGUUGUAAAGCACUUUUGUUGGGAAAGAAAAGCAGCCGGUUAAUACCCGGUUGUCAUGACGGUACCCAAAGAAUAAGCACCGGCUAACUUCGUG
RNAcentral lists this ribosomal RNA (490 nucleotides) under uncultured bacterium. RNAcentral describes it as "partial 16S ribosomal RNA". It matches the Rfam family "Bacterial small subunit ribosomal RNA", at positions 29 to 507 of the family's 1533-position model. The record is from RNAcentral.